Molecule: long non-coding RNA, 951 nt
Organism: Pieris brassicae (large cabbage white)
Lineage: Eukaryota; Metazoa; Arthropoda; Insecta; Lepidoptera; Pieridae
Exons: 5
Source: RefSeq, a predicted model, not a curated record
UGGAAAAGUACAGGAUUCUGACUUGAACCUACCCUGAGAGACUAAUUUUUAUUAUUUAAUUAUAAAUAUAAUAUGUAUAUAUAAAUAUCAUGGAUCUAUCAAUAUGAAUGAUUAUUGAAAUUAUUUCCAUUUGAGAACUACCCUCUGUUUAAAAUUGAAAAAUAAUAACAUAAUACAACAUUUAUAGAGAUUUUAUAAUAACCAACGACUGAGGAGUUGGCCUAUUGGCGUGUGCCUCUCAACCCUGGGGGUCUACCAUGAGCUCUUAUUGCGAGACUAAUGACAACCUACGACUGCUUAUUCGUACCCACGUGACGGUAAUCAGGUUUCGUUCAUUCAUUUCGUUUCGUUUUAUAUGACAAUUCGUACCGUGACCGCUGAACCAAAAUAUGACAGUUGGGCCUUCGAACUAUGACAGAACAAGCGAUUCUAGAAAAGUUACUUUUCUUUCAACUUUUUUUGUGUGGAAAGUGUCCAAAUAUUAAUUUAAUAUUUAUUUUCGAAGUUAAAAUAAGUUUGUUAGAAUGACAGAUAUCGCGCGUUUUUUGAGUUUGUUGAAUUGGAUUAUAAGGAAAUACAGAAUAAAUAACUACGAGGACAGGAAUUCCGACGACAAACCGACCCUUUAGAUCUGAUUGAUUCGUAUUUCAAAGGAUCUAUAGAUAUGUCGACUGAGCAAAAGAUUCUACCAAAAAUGUUGCAUGCCUGGUGUAUUGGGAUGUAUAGACUGCAAAUUGCUAUUAUCAGACCAGCCAUACAUGAAGAAAGAUCAUUCAUUAAACAUUCCAUUGAUUUGUGAUGCAGAAAUGCAAAUAUUACCAACGUGGCAACUAGGUUAUAUUGAUUUAUUUCUAUCGAGUGACUACUGUUAAAACUUUUCCUGUGGUGGGCCAUUAUGGAAAUGACAUAAAAUCAAUUUUUAAUACGGUUUCUGGCACACCCGAGAGUCAU